GGGACUUAAGUUUUCCGCCGAUGUUCUCCCAUCUUAAACAUAUUAGUCUCCGCCGUCUUUACGUACUGUCAAAUGUUAUCGCUUAAAGCGACAGGAAAUUCGCCGAAAUCCGAGCAAGAACUAACAAUUGCAGUGAAGAGAUCAGGUAGAAUGUUGAAGGAGUGGUGUCACUUUUAUUCGAUAACGGAGGUGGGAACACAUUUACUUAGCACUUAAGUACUUAGCACGCACAGAUUUAUAGUAAACAUGUACUCCAUUUGACCUUUGAGAAAGCGGGAUUUGGUUGCAGGAUUAAAAACUGCUAAGAGGCUAUGCAGUGCACUAAUUAUGAAGUUUCGGAACAGAUCCCAUGUUCGUUUUAUCAAUAUGUAAGUAUGGCCAAGCUGGAAACAGAAAUGUUGUGAUAUAGAACGCGCACACACCCGCACGACAUACAUACACCCUUGUACUUCCACUCAACGGAUCCACAUUUUCCACAUCCACGUCUGGCACGCACAUACACUCUCCCGCGCGGUGGAUACAUACCUUUGUAUUUCCGCUUUGAUAUACACUCUUUCUUGCACUCAAACUCAACUCACACAGACAUACACGCCCACUCAUCUCCAAUAGAAGAACGGGAAAACAGUAUAAGCCGAUGGCAGAGCCAGUGGGAUGCCACAGAGAAGGGUAUGGUAGAACGCAUUCUCUCAUUCACAUGAUGGACUAUUAUCUAAAGAAGACGUUGUCAGGACACGGCUGCUGUCGAGCACUUUAAGCACUAUGAAUCUCCGGAGUCUCCGUAUUGCCCAGGAGUUAUUGAAGAUGCAGAGCACCUUUUCUUCGAGUGCCCACGAGACGAACUGGAGACAACCCUGACACGCACAAUUCGACCAGAGACAGUAGUAGAAGAGAUGUAAUCAGAAGCUACUUCGAACGCCAACAGCGAGUACGUAACUGAAGUCCUCACAGAUUUGAGAUCCAUGGAAAGAAGAAAAAGAACGCCAAUUAGAAGAGAUGGAAGCGACCAGAAGGAAGAGCAGUAGCUAUAUCCUCACCCCCACGAAGUAAUGCCUAGCGACCGAUAUUGUGGGAAUCAGAAGUCGGAGGACAGAGGACAGAUAAGCCUGUUCAUAUGUAAAUGAUUUUCCUUGUCUGUACAGAAAGAAAAACACGCACCCUUUUUUGCACUCACACUUUCACCUAUAGUCGUACUCGCAAGUUUCAGAAUUGUAAGCACGUGAAGGACAUCUGUGUAAGAUUCAGAGCUCCAAAGGGCGCGGCCGCCGUUCAAAGAUCACUUGUACAAUACUUGCUUGUUAGAGCAAACCUCCACGCCGGUAUCAACAUCUUGGAGGCAGAAUAUUUGUAACCGAACGAGUUAUGAAGAUCUGGGGGCCCUAGAGCAUCUGCUGAUCCGGUUCGAUUUUGCGUCCAAGACAGAAAAACGGCAGGCACCAAACUCGGG
Molecule: long non-coding RNA, 1444 nt
Organism: Cylas formicarius (sweet potato weevil)
Lineage: Eukaryota; Metazoa; Arthropoda; Insecta; Coleoptera; Brentidae
Exons: 3
Source: RefSeq, a predicted model, not a curated record